CCAGCACCUCAACCCAAGAACUGCUGUUUCUCAUAGCAGCGGUUUAAACAGAGGUGCUAACAGCAAAGUGGAUCUUGUCGCCUUUGGGGGGCUGUGGCUGUGCUCCUCAAAGUGAAUUUGGAGGUUCUACACCC
This is a small nucleolar RNA of Vulpes vulpes (red fox), 134 nucleotides long. Ensembl annotates it as small nucleolar RNA SNORA68. The record is from Ensembl. Lineage: Eukaryota; Metazoa; Chordata; Mammalia; Carnivora; Canidae.